RNAcentral lists this long non-coding RNA (5765 nucleotides) under Marmota monax (woodchuck). The record is from RNAcentral. Lineage: Eukaryota; Metazoa; Chordata; Mammalia; Rodentia; Sciuridae.
GCCACUUCAAAGUUGGCACAGGCCGCUGUCCGGGCCUCCUGUGAACUGGGAAAUGAUGGGGAGGUUGGGGCCCCGCUUUCUCUGGCCUCAGGGACAGGGAUGUAAAAUUUGGUCACACCUUAGCUUGGCAUCCAAAGGAGGUCCCUCGAGGAAACCGAGGAAACCGUUUCUCAACCAGUUUUCCUGAAAAAGAGAGCACAAGGUGCUGUGUCCAGCCUUGCUUUGGAAUGUAAGUGUCAUUCUGGAAGGCAGGGAAAGGGGAUAAGAGGCAGAAAAUAGUGAACCGGGAUGGGGUGCGGCAGGGACCGGGAGCGAGCUACCCCAGUCCAGGGCAAAUUUCAGUUAACGGGUGUUUUAGCCUUUCCAUUGCUGUAACCAAAAGAUCUGACAAGAACAACAUAAAGGAGGAAAAGCUUGGUUUGGCUCAUGGCUUCAGAGGUUCCGAUCCUACUGGGCGACUCCACCGCUCUGGGCCCAGGGUGAGGCAGAACUUCCUGGUGGAAAAUCAAAGCAGCGGGAGCAGCUCAGGGCAUGGCGACAGGAAGCAGAGAGGGCUCUGCUCACAAGGCACAAAAUGCAGACCCCCGAGGCCACCCCCGGUGACCAGCUCCUCCAGCCACAGCCUACCUGCUGCAGUUACCACCCAGGUAAUCCUGGUCGGGGGAUUGGUCCGUUGAUGGGUGAAGGCUCCUCAUCUAGUUGUUUCACUUCUGAACAUCAUCUCACUGUUCCACAUGUGAGCUUUCGGGGGACGCCUCACCUCCACACCGUAACAAAGCAGUUGCAUUAAACAAGGAAAACUGAGGACCGCGUGCAUACAGCCGGAUGAGCUCGCUGUCCUGCCUGCCUUCCGGGGUGAAGUGGACGCUCUGUUUGUGAAGAGCAAGAGCAACACAUCUGUAACCUUGAACCGAAAGGACUGGAGGACAGCGGAGUCACAAAAUAUAACACCAGAGAGUCAUCAAAACUGUAUUCAAGGCAACAUUGUGUAGUGGAAAGACCACCGACAUGGGCGUCUGUCGGGUCUGGAUUGGAAUCUGGUUUAUCGUUUAAUUUAACCCAGUAUGCGGCCUCUACUUUUUCCAUUCUCAAAAGUGGGAAGGGUAUCCAUACGUCACAAAACAGACAGGCAGGGGCGCAGGCGCACACACUCGAGGAGGACUUCAGCUGUGGAAUAAUGGAUGCAAAGUGACUGAAAUGUAACAGGUUGCCUCACCUUCCUCUUCCCCCAGGGAGAGUUCUGUCCAGGCCAAUCGGACCAUCCCUGUCAGACACCCCAAGGUACAUCAGCAGCACAGUGAGCAGCCUUCAGGCACCUCCCCGCCACUCCUCUACAACAGCCAAAUAUAUAUACAUCAUUCUUGACGGUGCCACUUCUGGGAAAGCAUCCAAAAGAAACUUCUGGGAGAACCUGGAAAAACCAUGUAUAGGGUUGUUUCUCACAAAGUUAUUUAUAAUACAUAACAGAACUGUUUACUAAGAGACGUAGGAAAUGUGGCUUGCUGAUACCAUGGGAUAUGACACAUUUAGAGGGGUCCCUUGCCAUCCACAUGGAAGGAUGUAGUCACGAGAUGUGAAGUGGUUCAAAGCUGGCUGCAAAACUGCUCCACCCAGGACCCAGGCUCUGCAGUCUACAGCUCAAGGGCAGGAGGACUGUGGGUAAAUGUGAAUACAGCAGUUGGUAAGUUGGAGUGCAGUGAUGGGUACAACUUCUGAACCUGAAGAGCUAUUUUAUGUUAUUUUUGUUCAUUUAUCUCUUAAUGACACCAUUGAAGUAGAUGAUUUCUAAGAUUUCGUCCCUCUCCCACAUUCUAUGGGUAAGCUGCAUAUCUUUGUUUGAUUUUAUGUUCCUUCAUCUAUAAAAAUCUCCUGGUAGUUUUCUAGAAACAAAUCCCGAGAUUCGCAGGUAUUCGUUCUCUAUUGUUACAUCACAGAUUAUCCCCAAAUCUAGCAGGUUAAGACAAACACCUGAUGUCUCGUCCUCAGAGGGGUGGGAUCUGCGGGCUGAGCCGGCUGCUUUGCUCAGGGUCUUCAGAGGUCAAAGUCAGGCUGUUGACAGGGCAGCUGUCACCAGAAGGCUGGCCAGAGGAUGGGGAAGUCAUCUUCAAGCCCACACUUGUGUUGGUGGCCAGGUCCCUGGGCCUCACCCUGCGUCUCUCCUUAGGGCUGCUCACACGUGGUAGCUGGCCCCCCACAGAGGAGGUGCCUAGAGAGCCCCGUCCUCUAUAACUUAAGUCUUCUACGACCCAAGCUCAGAAGGGGCAGCCAUCAUGCCAUGAAUUCCUAUAGCUCUUGGGUGGCCUUGGCAUCCAUUCUGAAUGUGAGUUGGACUUUGUCCUGCCAGAAGCAGGACUCGGUCACCCUUGACACGAUUUCCAGUCCUUCACCCACCGUAUGUUCCUCUCGAGAUGGUCCAUCCAGGUCUUUGUCUUAUAUAACCACCUCCUGGUGACCACCUCCCUACAGGGUGACUGUACACACCUGCCUGGUCACCCCACUGGCCAUCGUCCUUGUGUGGACUGCACAGAAUUGCCACAGGGACCAACUCUCCGUCAGUGUGACCUCCUGGAACUCUCGCCUGCUCAUUCUAGCCCCCCCAGCUAGGACUCCCAGGGGAAACCUGCUUGGCAAUGCCCUGGUCCCCAAAAAAGACACUGGCCCAAGGGACUCUUGCUUUUGCCUCUUCCUCCCACCUACUGGCUGAGUGUACGGGUCCCGGGUGGCUCCCUGGUCCCAUGGCCCUGUGAGGCAGGCUGCCCUCUCCAUCUGGACCUGCUUCUGUCACUCAUGGGCUGUGUCGAGCUGCCUCCUCCGUCUCACACCUGACCCCACCCCCAAGUCUAACUCUCCUCCUGCCAGGGCUCUGCGGCAGAGGGGCCGUCUUGGAGUAAGUGACAUGGUCAGACAGGAGGCACAAGGACAUGUGCCAGUGUAAGCAAGGCAUUAAACCGUCAGCCAAGAUAAAAAAAUAAGUCCCCCGUGCAAGGCAUUCCGUGCAGCCCAGGCUGAAUUCCCGACUCGGCCAGGCUGGGCUGGAGCUCGGGUCUGUCCUGAGAGCCAGCUCCCCACCGAGCUGACUUACAGUAGCGCCUCCACCAUACGCUGGGGGUCACCGAGAGCAACUGUGGGCCAGUGCAGGGGGCAGUGACUGGGGCGUGAAGAGCAGGAGGUGGGGAUCACUGGGGGCUGUGUCAGGCAGCUCCAUCAUGAAGUCUGUCCUGCAGAAAGGCCGCCUCUCCUCGCCACCUCCUGGAUUCUGGCAUCCUGCGUGACGUCACAUUACCCAGCACAGUGAGGCGAGUGAGUGCCUGAGAGAUCGCAACUGAACAAGUGGGCGGAGAGCUGUUUUCUGGCUUGUGUGAAAGGCUUGUGAGGAUUGGAGAUGGUGGACUUUAAGUGCCCGGCUCACCAGAUGCACGAAGUCACAGUUGCCCAUGCUGCGCCCCCCCACCCCCCGUCCCCCCACCACCAUGCAAAAGAAGAAACUGAAGGUCGGUGUCCCCACGGUUAUGAGCAGAUAAGUACCAGAGCUUCCUGUCCAGCCCAGGCAGACGGGUUUGGCUCCUGAGCCCCAAGCUAAGUGGCUUGGAGUCACAUCUAACCCAUAAGACCCACAGGAGUGUGGCCGGGGUCAGGGUAGCCCUCGGCCCUGCAUUCACACAGCCUGUGUUCCUAGAGGGACAGCUCCUCCGGGCCCGCCUCUGCAGACCUCCGUGGGCCCCCUCUCCCUGCUCCUCCUGCUCGCUGCCCCUCCCUCCAGGCCCAUCUGGGACCUCCGGCCACUCAGCGCCACUUGGUUUCCAUCUCAAGGAGCCUUCAGGAUGUGCUAGAAGGACUUCUGAAGGAAACGCAGGCCUUGCCUGAUGCUAGCAGGGGUCUCCUGGGACGGCCACGUGGUCCCUUCCGUGGGCCACAUCAGUGAAUGUCCAGCUGAGGUCCACAGCAGAUCUUGACAAGAGGGUAGAGGGAGCGGGAACCCACCUGGCCUGCGGUGCACGCCGCUCGCCAUCUGGGCAUGUUCUUCUGGCCCCAAGCAACUCCCAAGAACCUUCAUCUCCUUCUGAGACUCAGCAAAGGGACUUAGCAUCUGGACUUGAGGACCUCGUCUCAUUUUCUACUUGAGGAAAAAUCCUGAAGCAUUUUAUAUCUUUUUUUGGGGGGGGCGGGUCCCGGGAUUGAACUCAGGGUCACUCAACCACUGAGCCACAUCCUCAGACCUAUUUUGUGUUUUGUUUAGAGACAGGGUUCACUGAGUUGCUUAGGGCCUCACAUUUGCUGAGGCUGGCUUUGAACUUGAGAUCCUCCUGCCUCAGCCUCCUGAGCAGCUGGGAUUACAGGCUUGUGCCACGGCACCAGGCUCAUUUUAUAUCUUGAGUUUCCAGUUUCUGUUUUUCUGCCACUUCUUUUUCACUAGGUUUCAACCCCACCACCACCAAAACAUACACACACACACAAAAAAAAAUUCUUCCAGAAAUUCUUAAAAGGAAAUGGGGUAAGGCUUUGACUUCAAGAUAAAUUCCCUGGGAGUCCUGAGAUGCCUAGUUUAGGAAAGCGGCACCAUCUGGAGAGCUCCCUCGAGGAGGCUGUGGGGGUAAGUCAGCUCCCCAGGGAGGGCCCCUGCGGCUGACACUGGCCUCUCUGAUCUCCAGACUGCACCGUGCCCGCCCUCAUCACACGGAGGCUCUCAGACGUGGUCUCCAGCGGUGGGAGGGAGGGGCAGCUGGCAGCACCUGAACAAGCCACCCAGGGAGCAGCAGUCCCGGCUCUGGCAGACUUGGGGGGUUGACCAGGCCCAAGCUGAGGAGACAGGGAGGACCAGUGGAGGACAGAUAGCCAGCUGGGUAGUCCAGGGCCUUCACAGGAGCCGUUUUAGUGUCUCCAGGGUGGGGAGCCUUGUGGAGGCGGUAAACUGUCCACGGGGAGACAACGGCCUUGAAGAGAAGCUCACUGCUCACACUUCCUAAGGGUGACGUUUCUUCUUCUAAAUUGAAGAAGGACCCACUUGUCCCCUAUAGAGAAAUCAUUUUUGAGAAGAGAAGACUGCGUCACUUCUGGCACAGGACGUGGAGGAUUUUGAAGAAUCAACGUCUGAAGAGAAACUCCUUCCACUCCCAGGUACUUCAAGGUUUACUCGGAACUUAUAAAAGUGAAAAAUAAAAGUAAUGCUAGCCCCGAUGUCAUCUCAAUAAUUAAUAUGCCUCCAACAGAUGGCGAACUGAUGGAGGAGAAAGCCUGUGGGUCCAUUAGGACGCUCUUUCAGGAACGUGCACUUUUCGUCUAUUAACGUGAUUUAGAACCUAUUCUGUUGUUCAAUCAACUGUGAACUCAUAAUCACAGUGAUGAAUUAUUUCCAAAGACUUUUUUUAACCUUUAGUUUCUAUGUUCAAAGGCAGUUCUAAUUGUCUACAUUUCUGUUUACGUUCAUAUCUUUAUGCCAGACAAAGAAUAUAUUUUGUUGAGAUAAAAAUCUAGGGGAAGGAAGUGGAGGAGAAAUAUGAGCUCAAAGAGAAACAGGAACAAUGUAAGAUUGUGCCAGAUUGUUGAUGUGUUUAUCUGAAGGCUUGAUAAUGGGCGUCUGAUGGCCAUGGCACGUAGAUUCCUUAGGAUACAUUCACAGGGAGAUGGAACCACCUUAUUUUCAAAAUAUCAGUAUAACUUUUUGGAAAUUUUAGGUUUGGGAACUAUUUCAACUUUAGAUGAGUUUUAGAUGUCAACUUGAGUAGGUCCAAGGGAGUCAUUUUUAGAAUGAUCUUAAGGAGUUUGGC